UACCUCAAUUCAAUGAGAUGUCAGAGAGAAGGAAAGAGAUCCUAUUUGAUAUGGUCCAAUCCAUUAUGAGCAUCACUGAGUCUUCCCUUAUUUCUUUGGGGAUAAGCUUAACUUUUAUAAUUUACAUACUGAAUAGUUUCCUCUAAGUUUAUCUUAUCAUGCCGUAUGAGAUGUGGCAUGAUGAGAAUGUUCGGCCCCUGUC
RNAcentral lists this long non-coding RNA (202 nucleotides) under Elaeis guineensis (African oil palm). RNAcentral describes it as "long non-coding RNA (EGUI_LNC035601)". Lineage: Eukaryota; Viridiplantae; Streptophyta; Magnoliopsida; Arecales; Arecaceae. The record is from RNAcentral.